This 87-nucleotide transfer RNA is filed under the name Salipiger mucosus DSM 16094. It matches the Rfam family "tRNA". From Rfam's summary of the family: Transfer RNA (tRNA) molecules are approximately 80 nucleotides in length. Their secondary structure includes four short double-helical elements and three loops (D, anti-codon, and T loops). The record is from Rfam by way of RNAcentral. Lineage: Bacteria; Pseudomonadati; Pseudomonadota; Alphaproteobacteria; Rhodobacterales; Roseobacteraceae.
GGAGGCUUGGCAGAGUGGUCGAAUGCGGCGGUCUUGAAAACCGUUGACCCUUCACGGGGUCCGUGGGUUCGAAUCCCACAGCCUCCG